AAACAAUUAUCUGCGAGUUCGAUGAAAAGAUUUUCGGACAUCCAUCCAAAACUUUUAUCUGCAAACAUGAUAUUAAUAACUUUGUUACCAUGAAGGAAGUAUCGGGCAGCUGCAUAGGCAUCUAUAUUCGCUACCUAUAUUGUGUGUUGAAAAAACAAAAAUGGUAGAUAUGGUUGGAUUUAUGGACAAUACAGAUGUUGGUGCCAUUGGGUGUGGCAGUCCAAUUGAGCGUUCCCGUGCUAUCGCCGAUAGGCUAAAACGAGCAAAGCGUGGUUAGAUUAUUUUGGUGCCAUAUAACUCUGGAUGUCAUUGGAUGCUGACUGUACUCAGUCCUGAAGAAGACAUUGUCUACUUCAUGGAUCCAUUAAAGAGAAGACUCUGCACAGGAGAGUGGAAGAAUAUUGUUGAUAAUGGCAUCAAAAUACAUAAUGCUCAACUCAAGAGGCAAGGCAGAAAGGCAACUACUUGGAAAAACUGUGCGGUACGAUUAUGAAACCUUUUAUGAAACAGUUUUUAUAAUUUUUGUUCCGAGAAGUUGGUUAUUCACGAAUGAGUUUUGCCCAUUGUUGGUAUUUAAUAUACUGUUUUUAGGGUAUUCCGGAGCAAAAGACGGACAAAGACUAUGGAUAUUAUGUAAUGAGAUAUAUGAAGGAAAUAGUGGAAGAUAAGAGCUUAGAUUUUUUCACCAAGUGGGAGAGAAGAGGCAAAGCAGCAUAUACCCAGGAAGAUAUUGAUGUGAUCAGAAAUGAGUGGGCAAAGUUUAUGGUGAAGACAUAUAUGUAAGCAUUGUGCUUGGUACUUAUGGAGCUAUAUCUUCUUUUUUAGUUCAGUUGAAACUUUGUUCUAUGGAUUUGGUUGGACAUGAGUUGAUGCUUGUACUUUGAAUUGAUAAUGUAAGAUUUGCA
Molecule: long non-coding RNA, 905 nt
Organism: Rosa chinensis
Lineage: Eukaryota; Viridiplantae; Streptophyta; Magnoliopsida; Rosales; Rosaceae
Exons: 5
Source: RefSeq, a predicted model, not a curated record